CCUACGGGGGGCUGCAGUGGGGAAUAUUGGACAAUGGGGGAAACUCUGAUCCAGCGACGCCGCGUGAGUGAAGAAGUAAUUCGUUAUGUAAAGCUCUUUCAUCAGGGAAGAAAAUGACGGUACCUGAGUAAGAAUCCCCGGCUAACUACGUGCCAGCAGCCGCGGUAAUACGUAGGGGGCAAGCGUUAUCCGGAUUUACUGGGUGUAAAGGGAGCGUAGACGGCUGUGCAAGUCUGAAGUGAAAGGCAGGGGCUCAACCCCGGAACUGCUUUGGAAACUGUAGGGCUUGAGUGCAGGAGGGGUAAGUGGAAUUCCUGGUGUAGCGGUGAAAUGCGUAGAUAUUAGGAGGAACACCAGUGGCGAAGGCGGCUUACUGGACUGUAACUGACGUUGAGGCUCGAAAGCGUGGGUAGCAAACAGGAUUAGAUACCCUAGUAGUC
This 440-nucleotide ribosomal RNA is filed under the name uncultured bacterium. Its description in RNAcentral is "partial 16S ribosomal RNA". It matches the Rfam family "Bacterial small subunit ribosomal RNA", at positions 338 to 795 of the family's 1533-position model. The record is from RNAcentral.